RNAcentral lists this long non-coding RNA (8062 nucleotides) under Homo sapiens (human). Its description in RNAcentral is "non-protein coding STT3A-AS1:5". Lineage: Eukaryota; Metazoa; Chordata; Mammalia; Primates; Hominidae. The record is from RNAcentral.
GAAAUAGGCCCUUGCUCCAAGUCCCAGUAACUCGGAAUGCGGAGCCGCUCGUCUCCCGUCUUUUUUAAGGAUGUGCCUGAUAGUUGACUCGAGCUUUUACUGUGCCUUGGUAACUGCGAUGGACCUGGGAACCUUGACAGAGUUCACAGCCCCUGGUUUUGUGAAAGAGCGUGCCUAGGCCUAAAGGGGUUGUCGGGGCUAAGCUGGAAGCAUUUCUACUGCCAGCUGAGACAGCCACCGCCGCGGAGGCACAGCCCUCCCCAGCAGCAAGCGGGCUUCCUCGGGAGACCGGGAGGCAGCCCGGCCAUGCUUAGUCAGUUCAGCCCUUUGUUAAAAUACCGGCCAGAGAGCCGCUCUCCCUAUCCUAACUUGCCUCUCUUCUCUCGCACCCCACGCGCUCCCCGACCCCCAAUAAGUUUGCUGAGGGCAGAGAAGGGGACGAAGUUUGAGCAGCAAUUCCAUCAUCUCAGACUCGCACGUGUACACCUUUAUCCUCAGGCACUUCCACUCCCUGCGCGCCUCGGUGAGCCAAGGCUACACCAGAGAGAGUGGGAACGUCUCGCAGCUCUUCGAACUUGUUGCCUCUACCACUCACGCAGUUUCCUAUUCUCCCAUGAACGGAACCCACCACUUAUUGAAAGGUCAUUAUUUAAAUCACUGCUUCAGAAUCACAUGCAUUUUUUUCAAAAUCCACAUGACCAGGCUCGCCCCAGGACGUUAUGAUUCAAUAGAUCUGCUUUUUUUUGGUUUUGUUUUUAGUAGUAAGUGUUCGAUGUAAUUUUACUUUAACAAAAGGAAACUGAAGCUGAGCCUGAAGGAAUUACAGAACUUGGAGUAAAUGCUUCUUCAAAAUACGAGUUUUGGUCGGGCGCGGUGGCUCACCCCUGUAAUCCCAGCACUUUGGGAGGCCAAGGCGGGCGGAUCACGAGGUCAGGAGGUAGAGACCAUCCUGGCCAACAUGGUGAAACCCGUCUCUACUAAAAAUAGAAAAAUUAGCUGGGCGUGGUGGCGCGUGCCUGUAAUCCCAGCUACUCGGGAGGCUGACACAGAAUCACUUGAACCAGGGAGUCGGAGGUUGCAGUGAGCCGAGAUCGUGCCACUGCACUCCAGCCUGGCGACAGAGCUGGACUCCGUCUCAAAAAGAAGUUUUUUCUCUUUAAAAAUAAAAAAGCGGGGAGGGGGGCAUUAAAAUUAGAAAGAUUGUGUUCAAGUUUCUUUUGUUUUUUUUUAAGUAUUAACCUAAGAAUAUUAAGGCCGGUCGCGGUGGCUCACGCCUGUAAUCCCAGCACUUUGGGAGGCCGAGGCGGGUGAAUCACCUGAGGUCAGGAGUUUGAGAACAGCCUCACCAACAUGGUGAAACCCCAUCUCUACUAAAAAUACAAAAAUUAGCUGGGCUUGGUGUCAGGAUCCUGUAAUCCCAGCUACUUGGGAGGCUGAGGCAGGAGAAUCGCUUAAACCCAGGAGUUGGAGGUUGCAGUGAGCCAAGAUCGCGCCAUUGCACUUCAGUCUGGGCAGCAAGAGCGAAACUCCGUCUCAAAAAAAGAAAAAGAAUAUUAAGAUGUUAGAGUUUUUAUUAAUUUUUUUCAAAGUAGGCCAGGCGCGAUGGUGGGCUCCUGUAAUCUCAGCUACUCAGGAGGCUGAGGCAGUAGAAUUGCUUCAACCCAGGAGGCAGAGGUUGCAGUGAGCUGAGAUCACGCCAUUGCACUCCAGCCUGGACAACGGAGCAAGACUCUCCCACCAAAAAAAAAAAAAAAAGUAUUAAACAUGUUUCUUAGAAUACAUUUAAGCUUCCAAGUGAUCAAAUUAAGUAAACCUUUUCACAAGUCAAAAUGUACUAUUAAAAAACAAAGUUUGGGGCCGGGUGCAGUGGCUCACGCCUGUAAUCCCAGCAUUUUGGGAGGCCGAGGCGGGCGGAUCAUGAGGUCAGGAGUUCGAGACCAGCCUGACCAACAUGGCGAAACCCCCGUCUCUACUAAAUAUACAAAAAUUAGCCGGGCCUGGUGGCAAGUGCCUGUAAUCCCAGCUACUCGGGAGGCUGAGGCAGGAGAAAUUGCUUGAACCUGGGAGGCGGAGGUUGCAGUGAGCUGAGAUCGCGCCAUCACACUCCAGCCUGGGCAACAGAGGGAGACUCUGUCUCAAAAAAAAAGAACAAAGUUUGAAAAUCUAAUCCUAUUUUUAGGAUGAGUCUUUGAUACCAGUCCAUGAGGAAAGGCUUAUUUGUGAAUAAAAUCAAAGGAAAACAAACUCAUAGGAAAGUCUUUAUAAUUAUUAUAAACAAACCUGGAGGUCCAGGUGUCGUGGCUCAAGAUUGUAAUCCUAGCACUUUGGGAGGUUGAGGCGAGAGGAUGGCUUGAGGCCAGGGGUUGGAGACCAGCCUGGGCAACAUGAUGAGAUGCAGUGUCUACAAAAAUAAUUUUUAAGAAUUAGCUGGACAUGGUCGUGCUGGCCUGUAAUCCCAACUACUGAGGAGGCUGAGGCAGGAGGAUUGCUUGAGCCCAGAAGUUAGGCGGCAAUGAGCUAUGAUCACGCCACUUCACUCCAGCGUGGGCAACAGAGCAAGAAAGACUCUGUCUCUAAAAUAAAAUAAUAAAUAGGCCGGGCAUGGUGGCUCAUGCCUGUAAUCCCAGCACUUUGGGGAGCCAAGGCUGGCAGAUCACCUGAGGUCAGGAGUUAAGGACCAGCCUGAUCAACAUGGAGAAACCCCGUCUCUACUCAAAAUACAAAAUUAGCUGGGUGUGGUGGCACAUGUCUGUGAUCCCAGCAACUCGGGAGGCUGAGGCAGGAGAAUCUCUUGAACCUGGGAGGCGCAGGUUGCCGUGAGCCGAGAUUGCGCCAUUGCACUCUGGCCUAGGCAACAAGAGUGAAACUUCGUCUCAAAAUAAAAGAAAAUAAACCUACAGUUUAUACGUGAAUUAUAGUGUAUCAGUUAAUCCUCCUCCCUCCUGAUUUAUAAGUCCAAAAGUUUUGAACUGGUUGUUUCAGAAAACAAUGCUUUUACUAUUUCAUCAGUUGCUUAAAAGGAAUGUUUUGAUGUAGAAGUUAGAACUUUUUCGUAGAGCUUUUCAUUUUUCUUAAAGCGUCAGUUUACCUUUCUUGUAUAUCAUUAAUCAAACGAAACUCAUGCCUUCAUCUCAUCUGUAGCACACCAGAGUAAUAGUAUCUGUGUUCUCCAAGCUGUUCUCUCCAGAAACCACGUUUCUACGUGUGUGCAAAGUUGUAUUACUGGGAUUUCCCCUGAAUGCACUUCUGGAUUCCACUGUUUCGUGUUAUUUGGUUGGGUGUUUUGUCUUAAUAAGACAUAGUUCUUUUUCUUUUUUUUCAUAGAUUAUCAUCUGAUAAGACAUCUUGCUAUUUCUUAGAUUUAUUUUUCACUUUUGAUGAAUUUUUUUUCAAGUAAGUGUUUUAGAAAGGCUGAAUGGAAGCAAACAUUGCCUUUGCGUGUUAGAAAAUAUCUGUAUUUUGUCCUUAAUAGCAUGGCUGGGUUUAGAAUUUUAGGAACAAAAUUGGGACCCACCCACCCCACCCCGUAUGCACACAGACACAUAAAAGCACACUUUCAAGCCUCUGUGACUAUAUUGUUCGUGAUCCACUGUGCCUUAAGAAACCUGACACCAAUCUGAGUCACUUUCCUUUAUCGGUAAUCUAUUUCCCUCUCUGAUAAAUUGUCUUUCCUUAGAGAUUUCAUCUAUGUGUUUCACCUUCUUUCAUUUUUUUCUGCUUUACAUUUGGCAGGCCCUUUCAGUCUGAAAACUACAAUUUGUAUCAUCAGUUCAGGAAAUGUUCUUUGAUUUUAUUCAUCUCCAUUUUUCUAUUCUCAUUUUCUGAAGUUGCUGUUGGACAAAUGUUUUAUCUCCUGGUUCUUGGAUACCUCUACCAUUCUUAACUUUUUCUUGAUCUUUUUGCUGUAUGUUCUGGAAGAUUUCCUCAAUAUUAUCUUGCAGUUCACUAAUUUAGCCUCUUCAGUGUCACUUUUUUUUUUUUUUCCCUUGAGACAAGGUCUCAUCUGUCACCCAGGCUGGAGUGCAGUGGCACCAUCUCAGCUCACUGCAGCCUCAACCUCGUGGGCUCAAAGGAUCCUCCUGCCUCAGCCCUCAAGUAGUGGAAAACACAGGUGCGAGCCACCACGGCUAAUUUUUGUAUUUUUUUGUAGAGACGGGGUUUCACCACGUUGCCCAGGCUGGUCUCAAACUCCUGCGUUCAAGCAAUCCACCCACCUCGGCCUCCCAAAGUGCUGGGAUUACAGGCGUGAGCCACGGCGCCCGGCCAAAUCUGUUCUUACUUUAUGGAUGCAGUAGCUUCUGAAAUCUCUGUGAAAAUAGUUACUAGAAUUUUUUAAAUUACCUUUUGUUUCCAUAAUUACUUAAAUUUCCUCCAGAGCCAGGUGUUGUUAUUUGUGUUUUGGAAAAGCUGCUGAGCUGAUUCCGAUGUUGAUUCCUCGUGAAGAGGAAUGAUUAGAGGAACUUACCUAAAUGAUUAAUUGGUCAUUGUUUUCUUUCUCUAGGUCUCAAAGCACUACAGAAUAUUUAAAUUUGAAAUCAGAAUGAGUACAAGGAGAGGCUGAACAUAUGGGCUAAUUGCUCAUCUUACUCAAAGAUUCCCUGAAUUCCAGUGUUUUAUCCAGCUUUGAGACCUAUGGAAAAAUAGCUGAUCAUGUAAUUCUUGAAAUUUUUGCAUAGUCAUUUGCUUGUCAGUCUCUCUCACUGGACUGUCAGGUCCUAGAAGGCAGUAAUCAUAUCUUUUUGGUUCACCCUUGAGUCCCCAGUCCCUUGCUCAGUACCUGACAGAGAAGGUGCUCAAAUGCUUGUUACGUGAUUAAGUCAUAAUUCCCUCACUUGAUCCUUCAGUGGUUCUGCAGACUCAUUUUAGGUCCAUCCAAAAUUUGUACUGGUGUAUGGCUCUCGUUGUUACAAAGGUGUAAAUUGCACUGACCUGAAGUCAGCUUCCUUUUAACUGCUGUAGGUUAUACAACUUUGGCAGAAUAUCGUUUUGUUUUUUUUAUUUUGAGAUGGAGUCUCACUCUGUCGCCCAGGCUGGAGUGCAGUGGUGCGAUCUUGGCUCACUGCAACCUCUGCCUCGCAGGUUCAAGUGAUUCUCCUGCCUCAGACUCCUGAGUAGCUGGGACCACAGGCGCGUGCCACCUCGCCCAGCUAAUUUUUUGUAUUUUUAGUAGAGACGGGGUUUCACCAUGUUAGCCAGGAUGGCCUCGAUCUCCUGACCCCAUAAUCCGCCCGCCUCGGCCUCCCAAAGUGCUAGAAUUACAGGCGUGAGCCACUGCACCCAGCCCAGAAUAUGUGAAUAAAAGGUGAGAUGACUGCUAAACUAUCUAUUCCACCCCACUACUGAUGAACAGUAACCUUCACCAGAGCAAUCUCAAUGAUGGAGGUAAACACACAUAAAGGAGCAGAAUGAACGUACUACUGCUGUAAUCAGAAAAUAAAGUACUAUUUGUGGGUGGAAAAUGAGGAGACAGUGAAUGGACAACUGUAGUUGCCUUUUCUCUCAUAGAUGCUAUCCUUUUAUUAAGUGCAGAGCAGUUAACACAUCAGUACAUGAAUGUGUCAUUUACGUUUCUAGCAGACUUAACGUACUCAGAUCUAAAGCAUCUACUUUCUAAUUUUGAGAGUUGCUAUAGCAGACAACUCAGCUCUAUAGAUAGAAUAAAAAGGCUUGUGUUUUCUAUUACAUAUACCUGUCCAAGCUGUGAUGUCUAUCCCUUGAAAAGUGCUUCUGGGAACAAUUCCUCAGAUCCUACUGGUUUUGUGAUUAAAACAAACAAAUUUUCAUUUUUAGUUUUGUGAGCUCCCUUGUUUUUGGUUACUAAUUAUUAGUCUGCCUCAAACAGGUAUUCUGCACUUGGCAAAAAUAUAGUCUCUUUUUGACCCAUUUCCUAAUCACUGCUCUCAGUGACAAUACCCUCGUGAAAGGCAGGAAAAAUUUACACUGCUUUGUGUAUAUAACUCAUUUGAGAUGGUCACAUUUCUCUUAUCACAGAUAUGCCUAAUCUAGCCUUUAUACAAAAGGCUUGGCUGCUCAACUGUGCUAAUAAAACUCUGGAGAUUCCUCACUUCCAGUCAUUUAAACCUUUACACAUUUUCUAUAGCCAGGCACAGUGCUGGGGAUAAAAAUCAUAUACCUUCAUCCACUCAACUUCCCUCACCCUUUUUUUCCCCCGCAAAACAGAGUCUCACUCUGUCACCCAGGCUGGUGUGCAGUGGUGCGAUCGUGGCUUACUGCAACCUCCACCUCCCAGGUUCAAGCGAUUCUCCUGCCUCAGCCUCCCGAGUAGCUGGGAAUAGAGGUGUACACCACCAUGCCCAGCUAAUUUUUGUAUUUUUAGUAGAGACAGGGUUUCACCAUGUUGGCCAGGCUGGUCUUGGAUUCCUGACCUCAUCAUCCACCUGCCUUGAGCCUCCCAAAGUGCUGGGAUUACAGGCCUGAGCCACCACGCCCAGUCUCCUUCACCCUUUUAAACCAAACUGAGAUGUUUCUAUUUUUUUUUUCAAUAGUUUAUGAGAUGCUUCUAAAUGGUACAAAUAUAAAUUUCAGGAAGCAAAGAUGUGACUGCUUAAAUAACUAAGCCUACUUUUAAAACUUAGUUUUAAGAAACUAAGCUUAAAUAAGGCAAUCACUUAUCACUUACAAGCUGAUGAAAUACUGAAGUCUUCUGCAAACCACACCCAUAGCAAUCUGGAAGUAGUCUGCAAUACUAUUGUUAAAUGACCAGAGAUGUCAUAGGAGAAUGUUGGAAGUAAACCUUACUUUAAACCAUGUCUUUUACAAUUUUUUCUGCCCAAGCUGGAAAGUGUUCACUUCCAAGAUGCCUACCAUUUAAAAACCCUCCUUCCAUCAACCGCAUAAACCUUCAAACUUGGUUUACAACUCUCAGCAACAAUUUUUUUUUAACCUUUUUUUUUUUUUGAGAUGGAGUUUUGCUCUUCUUGCCCAGGCUUGAGUGCAAUGGCACGAUCUCGGCUCACUGCAACCUCUGCCUCCUGGGUUCAAGCAAUUCUCCUGCCUCAGCCUUCUGAGCAGCUGGGAUUACAGGUGUGUGCCACCACGCCCGGCUAAUUUUUUGUAUUUUUAGUAGAGACGAGAUUUCACCAUGCUGGCCAGGCUGGUCUUGAACUCCCAACCUCAGGUGAUCCACCUGCCCCAGCCUCCCAAAGUGCUGGGAUUACAGGCAUGAGCCACCAUGCCCGGCCUAACCUAUUUUAUAGUUAAUAGAGACGGGGUUUUACUAUGUUGCCCAGACUGGUCUCGCACUCCUGGACUCAAGUGAUCCUCCUGCCUUGGCCCCUGCCAAAGUGCUGGAAUCCCAGCCAUCAGUUACCAUGCCUGGCCCCAGCAACAAUUUUUAAUUCCAUAUUUUAUCUUGCACAUAGUAAAGGUCUCUGUUAACCAGAUGUUUAACGGCUUCCCUCGAUUAAUACUCAAUACACCAAUAUCUAGGAGGGUCUUUCUCCCUUCAUGAAUAUACAGUAGCGAUAUACAUAUAGACUUUAGAAAAAGUAAUAAUCUGACUCUUCUACCAAAUAUAAAUGUGAUUAUAAUCAUAUAAUCCAGGCUUUCUCAGGGAACAUUUUUCAGGGCUAAUUUCUCAAAACUGUAACUAAAUUAUCCAAGACAAAGUCUUAUAUUCCAUGAAUACAUUUCUCGAAAUCAAGAUUUGCAAAUUCAACCAUUAGACACUUUGUGGGAAACCAGCUCAUGUUUAAUUGUGACAUUUUAAAAUUGUACAGGUAUUUUGACAUCUGCCCCCCACAUUUAGUCUCUCAAAAUGACAGGAAAACAACCAAUCACAGGUUUAAUACAUUGACCCCUUCAGUUCCUAUAUGCAGCACCCAAUAUUCCUUUGAAAUAUGAAAUAGACCUGGCAGUGGCCAACAGUAAAUUUCUGCCCGCUGCCUCCCACCACCAACGGAGUUGAAAAGUUCAGGUUUAGUGUUGUUGUAGUGGCACUUGUCCAGAAUUGGUACCUCCCCAUAGUUGGGGGACUUUAAAUGUACCAAUGAAAAUAGCUUUUUCCCCUUCAAGGGGAAGAAAGAAAAUCACUCCUCAAAAC